Pipistrellus kuhlii (Kuhl's pipistrelle) is the source of this 541-nucleotide long non-coding RNA. RefSeq lists it as uncharacterized. NCBI's taxonomy places the organism in Eukaryota, Metazoa, Chordata, Mammalia, Chiroptera, Vespertilionidae. The transcript has 2 exons. The record is from RefSeq and is a predicted model, not a curated record.
AUGGGUGCCCUGCUCUAUAGAGAGUCCAAUGUAAUAAGCAAGGCCAAUCAGGAACUGAAUCCUGCUGACAUCUAUGUCAGUGAACUUGGCAUCUAAUUCUCCCCUGGUUGAGCCUUGAGAUGAAAACAGCCUUGGCCAUCGCCUUGACUCUGGCAGAGGUGAGUGGCAGAGGUCCAGACCCUGGGUUAUGGGAGAGGGAGAGUAUGAAAGGUUGUACUCAGGAGAGAUAUACAGGAGAUUCAUUCAUGAUGAACAGACCUGACAGAAAGCACAAAGGCACGGUGGAAAUUUGAAGAACUUGUCUUGUGAGAGACCUGGGCCAGGGUACCCAGCCAAGCUGCCUCUGGAUUCCUGAACUACAAAAACUGUGAGAUAAAUAUCUGCUUAUGAAGAAAAUAUAUAGAGAUUGGAAGAGAGUGUUAUGAGAAAAAACCACAAAAAUGAUUUUAUCCUCCUGAGAUAGAUUUCCUGUCUCUCUCCAGCAGAUGUUAUCAGGAUAAUUGCAAACAAAACUAUAUAUAACAAAAUCCAGGUGACUUAA